UUAGUGGCGCACGGGUGCGUAACGCGUGGGAAUCUGCCCCUUGGUUCGGAAUAACAGUUGGAAACGACUGCUAAUACCGGAUGAUGACGUAAGUCCAAAGAUUUAUCGCCGAGGGAUGAGCCUGCGUAGGAUUAGGUAGUUGGUGUGGUAAAGGCGCACCAAGCCGACGAUCCUUAGCUGGUCUGAGAGGAUGAUCAGCCACACUGGGACUGAGACACGGCCCAGACUCCUACGGGAGGCAGCAGUGGGGAAUAUUGGACAAUGGGCGAAAGCCUGAUCCAGCAAUGCCGCGUGAGUGAUGAAGGCCUUAGGGUUGUAAAGCUCUUUUACCCGGGAUGAUAAUGACAGUACCGGGAGAAUAAGCUCCGGCUAACUCCGUGCCAGCAGCCGCGGUAAUACGGAGGGAGCUAGCGUUAUUCGGAAUUACUGGGCGUAAAGCGCACGUAGGCGGCUUUGUAAGUAAGAGGUGAAAGCCCAGAGCUCAACUCUGGAAUUGCCUUUUAGACUGCAUCACUUGAAUCAUGGAGAGGUCAGUGGAAUUCCGAGUGUAGAGGUGAAAUUCGUAGAUAUUCGGAAGAACACCAGUGGCGAAGGC
RNAcentral lists this ribosomal RNA (595 nucleotides) under uncultured Sphingomonas sp. Its description in RNAcentral is "bacterial SSU rRNA". It matches the Rfam family "Bacterial small subunit ribosomal RNA", at positions 92 to 722 of the family's 1533-position model. Lineage: Bacteria; Pseudomonadati; Pseudomonadota; Alphaproteobacteria; Sphingomonadales; Sphingomonadaceae. The record is from RNAcentral.